This 440-nucleotide long non-coding RNA is filed under the name Brassica napus (rape). RNAcentral's name for it is "long non-coding RNA (BNAP_LNC019957)". Lineage: Eukaryota; Viridiplantae; Streptophyta; Magnoliopsida; Brassicales; Brassicaceae. The record is from RNAcentral.
ACACAACUUAAUGGGACAGUAUGUGUCGAUGUAUUUUCAACGAUUUUUGACGGAUUAGACUCUGAUGGUCGUGGAAUAAUGGGUCGAAAUACUUGAUUCGUAACAUUCUGAAAGGGUGUCCUAAAAGGAUUUAUACUGGGCAGAGGUGAAACGUUUGUGAUAGAUGAGUUUUGUGUUAUACUCCCCAUUGGAGUAUUCUCUUUGUCAUUGGUACCUGCGUCAACAUAAUUAGUAUGUGAAAAAUUAACCAACUAUCACUUGCCCUGAUUUCAUUAGAACGAUUACGUAUCAUUCUUUGUAUUCAGUAGUACGAAAAUUCAUAAUUUAUAAAGGUUUUUAUUUAUUUUCAGUAGAACAUACACUGUUUUUUUUCUUCUUAUGUGGUUUAUUCCCUGUGUCUGUAGACACUGGAUUACUUCUCUUCAUGCUUCCCACUCAAA